This is a non-coding RNA of Sphagnurus paluster, 87 nucleotides long. The record is from the annotation of a GenBank genome assembly. NCBI's taxonomy places the organism in Eukaryota, Fungi, Basidiomycota, Agaricomycetes, Agaricales, Lyophyllaceae.
GGCGCUAUAGUGUAGUGGCUAUCACUCGGGAUUUUGACCUUGGAGUAUUGAAUUCCCGUAACCCAGGUUCGAACCCUGGUAGUGCCU